AGCAGCCGCGGUAAUUCCAGCUCCAAUAGCGUAUAUUAAAGUUGUUGCAGUUAAAAAGCUCGUAGUUGAAUUUCGGGAUCAAUAUGUCGGUCGUGCUUCGGUACGUACUGGCGUUAUUGGUUUCUCCCUUCUGAAGAACCGCGAUGUCAUUAAUUUGGUGUCGUGGGGAAUCAGGACUGUUACUUUGAAAAAAUUAGAGUGUUUAAGGCAGGCUCGCGCUUGAAUACAUUAGCGUGGAAUAAUGAAAUAGGACGUUUGAUUCUAUUUUGUUGGUUUCUAGGAUCGACGUAAUGAUUAAUAGGGAUAGUUGGGGGCAUUAGUAUUCAAUUGUCAGAGGUGAAAUUCUUGGAUUUAUUGAAGACUAACUACUGCGAAAGCAUUUGCCAAGGAUGUUUUCAUUAAUCAAGAACGAAAGUUAGGGGAUCGAAGACGAUCAGAUACCGUCGUAGUCUUAACCAUAAACUAUGCCGACUAGGGAUCGGAUGAUGUAAUUUUUAAUGACUCAUUCGGCGCCUUACGG
Molecule: ribosomal RNA, 520 nt
Filed under: uncultured Glomus
Lineage: Eukaryota; Fungi; Glomeromycota; Glomeromycetes; Glomerales; Glomeraceae
Description: SSU rRNA
Rfam family: Eukaryotic small subunit ribosomal RNA
Source: RNAcentral